UGGCGGCGUGCCUAAUACAUGCAAGUCGAACGCUUCUUUCCUCCCGAGUGCUUGCACUCAAUUGGAAAGAGGAGUGGCGGACGGGUGAGUAACACGUGGGUAACCUACCCAUCAGAGGGGGAUAACACUUGGAAACAGGUGCUAAUACCGCAUAACAGUUUAUGCCGCAUGGCAUAAGAGUGAAAGGCGCUUUCGGGUGUCGCUGAUGGAUGGACCCGCGGUGCAUUAGCUAGUUGGUGAGGUAACGGCUCACCAAGGCCACGAUGCAUAGCCGACCUGAGAGGGUGAUCGGCCACACUGGGACUGAGACACGGCCCAGACUCCUACGGGAGGCAGCAGUAGGGAAUCUUCGGCAAUGGACGAAAGUCUGACCGAGCAACGCCGCGUGAGUGAAGAAGGUUUUCGGAUCGUAAAACUCUGUUGUUAGAGAAGAACAAGGACGUUAGUAACUGAACGUCCCCUGACGGUAUCUAACCAGAAAGCCACGGCUAACUACGUGCCAGCAGCCGCGGUAAUACGUAGGUGGCAAGCGUUGUCCGGAUUUAUUGGGCGUAAAGCGAGCGCAGGCGGUUUCUUAAGUCUGAUGUGAAAGCCCCCGGCUCAACCGGGGAGGGUCAUUGGAAACUGGGAGACUUGAGUGCAGAAGAGGAGAGUGGAAUUCCAUGUGUAGCGGUGAAAUGCGUAGAUAUAUGGAGGAACACCAGUGGCGAAGGCGGCUCUCUGGUCUGUAACUGACGCUGAGCUC
Molecule: ribosomal RNA, 745 nt
Filed under: Enterococcus faecalis
Lineage: Bacteria; Bacillati; Bacillota; Bacilli; Lactobacillales; Enterococcaceae
Description: bacterial SSU rRNA
Rfam family: Bacterial small subunit ribosomal RNA
Source: RNAcentral